This 1436-nucleotide long non-coding RNA is filed under the name Marmota monax (woodchuck). The stretch from base 588 to 657 matches the Rfam family "tRNA". Lineage: Eukaryota; Metazoa; Chordata; Mammalia; Rodentia; Sciuridae. The record is from RNAcentral.
AGAAUGUCCAGUCCUGGGUCAGGUGAGCCUCUGGGCUACCACCUGGACAUUCUGACUGCUCCUGUGUGACUUUGUGCUAGUCACUCACUCAGGGCCAUGUAUACUCUUCUGCCCUCCCAGAAUUACCUUAACAAUAUGGCAGUUAUGAAAACUUCAAUGCAUUGGAUUUAUUUUCUCUUCACUAGAGAAAAGAAGGUAGGACAGAAUUCCAGGCUUCUGCUGUCCCAUUAAAAUAUCUGGCCCUUUGAUUUCUUAAAAAAAUUGUUUUUAGUUGUUGAUUGACCUUUAUUUAUUAUAUGUGGUGCUCACUUAGAAAAAAGAAAAAAAAGAUUUUUAAAGGUUGUAAGAUACUGAGCUACUGAUUCCUUAAUUCUUUUUCUUCCUCCUUUCCUUCCUUCCUCUCUCUUUUUCCUCCUCUUCUUCUUUUUUUAGUCUUUAGUCUAAUCUAAAGUGCCUCACUCAUGCUAGGCAAAAACUCUACCAACUGAGCCACAACCCCAGCCCAUGGCCCUCUGAUUUCUUACUUCUUCGUCUUCUCCUUUUUUUAGAGCAUAAAAGAGAAUUUAUUACAAUGACUUAAGAGUACUGGGGAUGUGGCUCAAGUGGUAGAGCGCUCACCUAGCACGUGUGAGGCACUGGGUUCGAUCCUCAGCACCACAUAAAAAUAAAGAUAUUGUAUCCACUUAAAACUAAAAAAAAUGUAUAUAUAUAUAUAUUUUUUUUUAAAAUAUCUUCUGGAACACACUGGGUAAUUGGAUCCAUGGAGAUAGGAAAGAUACAUUCACUGCUAGAUAUGCCACCUGAAGCAGACAGCAGUGGAGAAAUACUCUCCCCUCCUCCAGCCCUCCAAUCUCGUGUCACAGUCUAAUUGGCCAAACCCAAUAGGAAGGCAACAGAACCCGGAAAAUACAGCAUGUAAUAGUCAGUCCCUAUGGGAUCAAGAAAAGUGUAAUGAACAUAUUUGAGGGAAAAGAUCCAAAGACAUACUUACAUCAAAAGAAAAAACUAGCCCAGUGGCUUUGGAGGCUGAGAGAGGAGGAUCAUGAGUUCAAAAACAGGCUUAGGGCUGGGGCUAUGGCUCAGUGGUAGAGUGCUCGCCUAAAAUACAUGAGGCACUGGGUUCAAUCCUCAGCACCACAUAAAAAUAAAAAAUAAAGAUACUGUAUCCACCUAAAACUAAAAAAAAGACAGGCUUAGCAAAAGCAAGGGGCUAAGUAACUCAGGGAGACCCUGUCCCUAAAUAAAAUACAAAAUAGGGCUGGGGAUGUGGCUCAGUGGUCAAGUGCCCCUAAGUCCAAUCCUGGUAUCCACCAUCCCCCCAAAAAAGAAAAAAAAAAAACACCUAUGAAUUUGUUAUAGGAAAAUAUGUUAUCAAAGUUCAGAAAUUCUCAUUUGAGAAUACUAUUUUAAGUGGUACAGUCUUUUUUAGAAGAUUG